This 73-nucleotide transfer RNA is filed under the name Stegodyphus mimosarum. It matches the Rfam family "tRNA". Rfam says of the family: Transfer RNA (tRNA) molecules are approximately 80 nucleotides in length. Lineage: Eukaryota; Metazoa; Arthropoda; Arachnida; Araneae; Eresidae. The record is from Rfam by way of RNAcentral.
GCCUUCGUGGUGUAGUGGUCAGCACGCUGGACGCGGGUUCCAGAGGUCUGUGGUUCGAGUCCCGAUGAAGGCG